This 297-nucleotide signal recognition particle RNA is filed under the name Nomascus leucogenys (northern white-cheeked gibbon). RNAcentral's name for it is "Metazoan signal recognition particle RNA". It matches the Rfam family "Metazoan signal recognition particle RNA". Rfam says of the family: The signal recognition particle (SRP) is a universally conserved ribonucleoprotein. It is involved in the co-translational targeting of proteins to membranes. The record is from Rfam by way of RNAcentral. Lineage: Eukaryota; Metazoa; Chordata; Mammalia; Primates; Hylobatidae.
GCCAGGCGUGGUGGCGAGUGCCUGUAGUCCCAGCUACUUGGGAGGCUGAGGCAGGAGGAUCCUUAAGCCCAGGAGUUCUGGGCUGUAGUGUGCUAUGCUGAUUGGGUGUCUACACUAAGUUAGUCAUCAGUAUGGUACCUUCUGGGAGUAGGGGACCACCAGUCACCUAAGGAGAGGUAAACCUGCCCUGGUCAGAAACGGAGCAGGUUAAAACCCCCAUGCUGAUCAGUAGUGGGAUUGCAUCUGUGAAUAGCCAUUGCCCUCCAGCCCGGGCAACAUAGUGAGAUCCUACCUUUA